This is a long non-coding RNA of Pseudomyrmex gracilis, 601 nucleotides long. RefSeq lists it as uncharacterized. The transcript is spliced from 3 exons. The record is from RefSeq and is a predicted model, not a curated record. Lineage: Eukaryota; Metazoa; Arthropoda; Insecta; Hymenoptera; Formicidae.
AUUCAUUCGCACGCGUAAAUCGCUGAUAGGCUAACUUGUCUAUCUAUGGGCAAUCACGCCCUUUGAGCCUUAGACAAAUGAAAUAUGUUACACAGCUAUAUAGUGAUUCGAUCUUUUCAGUCGUUCGAUUUUCCUUGUUCAAUUCGCGCUCGUCGCGGCGACAUUGAUCUUUUCGUGUUUUACGAAUAUUCAUCAUCGAGAUGUGCCAGCGAAUUCUAUUGGAUUACACGCGCCAGCCGAGCCUUCAAACAAUUCCCGGCCCGGAUAUCUCGUUAAUUAUACAUCAUCGAUCUCCCGGCAAGUCGGUUCACUUUGAGAGAGCAACCACUUAAAGCGAAGACUCUCCCAAUAUGCACUUCAAAGAAACGCCAAAUUGGUUAGAAGUUAUGGCACCUGAGAAGCGCAUGCUAUCACACAUACAAAUUACUAACCUUCGCCGUGCUUUUAGUUGAAAACAAGAAAAAAAAAAUUACAAGGACAUCCAGAAGACAUUCAAGAGGAUUAUACUGCAAAAACCAGUUCUCCCGGUAAGGUCAGACAAAUACAGAGCGCGAUUCUUUUCGCGCGGGCAGCGAAACAUUCGUCCUUUUAUGGAUUUUCA